UUUGGAAAUCCAUGUGACAGAUCUGUUCAUGCUAACGUGGCAUAAGGAUUACUGCUGUCAUUAUUAAGUGACUUUUGCUUUGUCAGCCAUAUUUUCUUGCAAAAUUAACAUAAGCUAAGAUGGGCAUUAGCUUUGUAGCAAUCUAUGUACUAAAUAUUUCAUAUUUUUAACUAAGAAGUAAAAACAGGAUCCUGUGUAUUCAAUCAGUAUAGACAAAAUAUUGCUGCCAAUGAUGAGAGUAAGGAUUUCAGGAAAGCCAGUUCUAUUUCAAUGGAGUACAAAUUAAUGAUCUGCUGGGGAACUUAGUUGCAGAUGAAAGUGUAGUGAAACACUAAUACUGUCCUUAUCAUAUCACUUUAAUGUAUUGUAGAAGCUCAAUGGUUUUGGUGUCUUAAUUCUCAUUUUGUGAGCAGGAAUUAUUUAUAUCCUUUUAGGCACAGUCAUAUACAUGUGGACAUUUAUUGCAUAACAGUCUGUUGUGUCUUGAAUACCAAAAAAUAGAAAUUCAUGUAACAGAUACAUGAGAGAAAAUGUGCUCCAAGGAACACAGUCAUCAGAUCCUUGACAAAUUGUCAUUUUUUAUCCUCUCAUGAGAAAAGCAGCUGGGAUGUUUUUCUGAUGGCUUAUUUUAAUUCUUUCUCUGACCAAAGUAUUUUAAGAUUCAGCAAGUUCUAUUAAGUAUCAAGGACAUUUCCAACAUAUGUAUCUGAGCCAGGAAUCAAACAAAACAAAAACUCUUGCAGUGAACCAUUAGGCAUUUGAUUUGCUGGCAGGAAAGAAUACAACUUUGAGGCAUUAAAAAUGAAAUAUCCUUUGAUGCUGGGAUAUAGGAUUUUCCUCUGUUAUGGAUGAAUGCAUUUGUAUCCAGAUAAUAUCCAAUUCAGCUGUCACAGUGUUAAUGUAACUGCUCAGGACUCGUCUUGGUACUGAGAGAAUGUUUAUACAGUACAGUGCACUCUGGGAAGUCACAAAGCUGCUAACAGCCGGAAGCCUUAUUCUCUCGUCAUCUGGGGUGAUAUGAAUGAAGAUAAGCUUCAUUCAGGUAUACAGAAAUAUGCUGUUGUCCAGUGCCCUACAGGAAAAUCAAAUGUUACAAGAAAAUAUGAUGCCAAAACACACAACAGUUUUUGCUUUGUUUUUAAGGGGUGCUGCUUUCAUAACCCCCAGCUGGUGCAUCCACGUGGAGAAGUCCAACAAGUGAAUGGCUGCAGGGGUGGGAUAUGACCACGAGGAACAGCACAGGUCUGGCAGCUGCUAGGGCCACACACUUCAGGGAGGCAUCCAUGUACCAAUGGAUUAACUCGACAUAUAUUUUUGUAUCUGUAUGGAAUGCAAACUGCAACUCCAACAGGGCUUGAGAUUUUUCAAAUAAGUAUAAUUUAUCCUAAGCCUAAAUUUGCUAGAAAACACAGUCUGAAGCUCAUUUACCCAAUGAAAUUACCUAACUGAA
This is a long non-coding RNA of Gallus gallus (chicken), 1450 nucleotides long. Lineage: Eukaryota; Metazoa; Chordata; Aves; Galliformes; Phasianidae. The record is from Ensembl.